GGAGGUGGAAUUCCGCGUGUAGCAGGUGAAAUGCGUAGAUAUGCUGGAGGAACACCGAUGGCGAAGGCAGCCUCCUGGGAUAACACUGACGCUCAUGCACGAAAGCGUGGGGAGCAAACAGGAUUAGAUACCCUGGUAGUCCACGCCCUAAACGAUGUCAACUAGCUGUUGGGGCCUUCGGGCCUUGGUAGCGCAGCUAACGCGUGAAGUUGACCGCCUGGGGAGUAC
This 228-nucleotide ribosomal RNA is filed under the name Achromobacter sp. RNAcentral describes it as "partial 16S ribosomal RNA". It matches the Rfam family "Bacterial small subunit ribosomal RNA", at positions 657 to 883 of the family's 1533-position model. Lineage: Bacteria; Pseudomonadati; Pseudomonadota; Betaproteobacteria; Burkholderiales; Alcaligenaceae. The record is from RNAcentral.